UACGUAGGUGGCAAGCGUUGUCCGGAUUUACUGGGUGUAAAGGGCGCGUAGGCGGGCUCGUAAGUCAGACGUGAAAUACCGGGGCUCAACCCCGGGGCUGCGUUUGAAACUGCGAGUCUUGAGUGCCGGAGAGGAAAGCGGAAUUCCUAGUGUAGCGGUGAAAUGCGUAGAUAUUAGGAAGAAAACCAGUGGCGAAGGCGGCUUUCUGGACGGUAACUGACGCUGAGGCGCGAAAGCGUGGGGAGCAAACAGG
RNAcentral lists this ribosomal RNA (253 nucleotides) under uncultured bacterium. RNAcentral describes it as "partial 16S ribosomal RNA". It matches the Rfam family "Bacterial small subunit ribosomal RNA", at positions 524 to 776 of the family's 1533-position model. The record is from RNAcentral.